Long non-coding RNA from Malaclemys terrapin pileata, 461 nucleotides. RefSeq lists it as uncharacterized. The record is from RefSeq and is a predicted model, not a curated record. Lineage: Eukaryota; Metazoa; Chordata; Testudines; Emydidae. The transcript is spliced from 3 exons.
GUCAAAGCCAUCUGGAAACAAUCAGGGUAUCCUUGAUCGAGAGCCGGUCUUCAACUUGAGGAGAAGCUGCAGACGAGAGUUGAAAUGAUGGCAUACAAACCAUGGAUGGGGACAUCGGCCUCGAGAACUAAUCCCAAGAGUGACCAGAAGAAGAUGCCAGCCCAGUGGGACAAAUUCUGGAACACUUCAGGACUGGCCAUGUUAAUGUUGCAAAAGCAGCUUUAUUGUGAUCUCACAUCCUGGCCUGCCCAGACCCCCCCUCACCGAACUUCACCUCCCCUCCUCUGCUACACCAUUUCCUGAAGAGAUUAUUAAUUUCAGCAGCUGGCUGGGGUCUCUGAGGCCAAGUCGGCACACAUGUAUAAAUUACACUGGUCAACAAUUUUUGAGAAGUCGUCUGCUUCAGAGAUAAAAUGUGCUAUUUAUUAUGUAUUUUGAUGUGCUGAAUUCAAAUAUGAUAA